Molecule: long non-coding RNA, 238 nt
Filed under: Elaeis guineensis (African oil palm)
Lineage: Eukaryota; Viridiplantae; Streptophyta; Magnoliopsida; Arecales; Arecaceae
Description: long non-coding RNA (EGUI_LNC080701)
Source: RNAcentral
AGGUAAACAAUGUCCUCACUAUUCUUCAGGGAGUCAAACUGCUCUUCUCUGUAACAUACAUAAUGAGUACAUACAGAAUCUAAUAUCCACUAUUGAAAAGAAGUAGAUGCCUCGUCAGAUAUCUCCAGGAUAUCUCUUUUUGAAUCACUGCUGGCCGUCACCAUAGCAGCCAUCGUCCGAUUUUUGAGUUAAGAGUAAUCUUUAGCUAUAUGCCCCAACUCGUCACAACGGUAAUACC